GUACAGCAAGGUCUUCAGUAGAGCAUGGGACUCUUAAUCCCAGGGUCAUGGGUUUGAGCCCCAUGUUGGGCA
This 72-nucleotide transfer RNA is filed under the name Neotoma lepida (desert woodrat). It matches the Rfam family "tRNA". From Rfam's summary of the family: Transfer RNA (tRNA) molecules are approximately 80 nucleotides in length. Lineage: Eukaryota; Metazoa; Chordata; Mammalia; Rodentia; Cricetidae. The record is from Rfam by way of RNAcentral.